Molecule: unclassified non-coding RNA, 226 nt
Filed under: Hevea brasiliensis (rubber tree)
Lineage: Eukaryota; Viridiplantae; Streptophyta; Magnoliopsida; Malpighiales; Euphorbiaceae
Source: RNAcentral
AAUUACAGAAGAUUUGAGAGAUUUUGUCAAGGGAUUGACUUCUAGUACAUUCCAUAACUUCCCAAUUCAAGAUGAAGCUGAGGUGUCUGAUGUGCCUACUACGGCAUCGAAUGUACGGAAAGAUCUUAAUGAGUGGCAGGGGGGGCAUGCCCCCCUCCGUUCUCACUAAUGUGAAGCAAAUCUCAAAGCUAAGAUACGAAUUAUGCCCACGUGUGAUGAAAGAAAG